Talpa occidentalis (Iberian mole) is the source of this 997-nucleotide long non-coding RNA. RefSeq lists it as uncharacterized. The transcript is spliced from 4 exons. NCBI's taxonomy places the organism in Eukaryota, Metazoa, Chordata, Mammalia, Eulipotyphla, Talpidae. The record is from RefSeq and is a predicted model, not a curated record.
CCGGAGGAGGGGCUGGAGUGGCCGAGCGGACGGAGCGCGGUGACAACUGAGCGCGGAGAGCGUGACGACACCAACGGGGCUGCUGGAGCCGUUUUGAUCAGCCCUUCAUCAGGGAUAAAUUAUUCGCUUAGACAUGGUAAUGCCUCCACCUGAGAUUUACCUUCCUCCUCUGCUUCCAGUACUGGUGCGUUUCCUGUACACCUGUCUGAAGAUAUUUCUAGCCAUGCACUACAUUUGAGGAGAUGUGUUCAUGGGAGAAGAAUUCUCCUGCCUUCAAGGAUCUCAAAUGACAGUGAAAACAUGGACAAUACACUAGUGAAUGGUGGAACAACUAGAAAAUGUUGGAGAAUACCUCUCUCUGCAGCCCCUUGAUGACCACACCCUGGGGAAUUGAACGGGAGAGUGAAAGGGGAAGGUGGCGUCCUGUAGUCCUCUUUACCUCCAAGAAAUAGAAGUGGUCUUUCCACCCAAGGAGACAUCUCACCUCAGAGGGAGCCCCAAAUGGAAAGCGCGGAUCAGGAGGGGGUAACGAUUGCUAAAUAAAAAGAAGAGACCUCCGUGAUCCUGUUUGGGGGAAAGGAAGUCCUGAGCUAAUUCCAUACAGGCUUUGUGGACUCCACCCCCACUCCAGACCAAAGCCAUCAGGACAUUGGGAAAGACAAAUCCCUUCACCACCAAAGGGAAGGUUGCUGGGACCUGAGGGUGGAGUUAAGCAGCCAGAUUUGGUAUAAAAACCAAACAUGUGGGCCUUGGGGGGCUCACUCUCUGGCUCGCCUCCUGGCUUCACGGCUCCUGGCUUGCGGCCAGCUCUCAGAGUGCUGUUUGGGAUUCCAGAUCGGCGAAUCGGGUAGGACGCAUUUAAAACUUUGUCUCCCACUUUUCUCCGUGAGCUGUACAUUUCCUCAUUUCCCCUUCCCUUGUAAAUAAACCUUUUAUUAACCUUUCGCGUGUGCCUGCAGUAGAGUAUUGAUAAGUCCUUUUAAGCGUGCGGGUGAGG